CGGAGGAAGUGGGGAUGACGUCAAAUCAUCAUGCCCCUUAUGACCUGGGCUACACACGUGCUACAAUGGGCGGUACAAAGGGUCGCGAACCCGCGAGGGGGAGCCAAUCCCAAAAAGCCGCUCUCAGUUCGGAUUGCAGGCUGCAACUCGCCUGCAUGAAGCCGGAAUCGCUAGUAAUCGCGGAUCAGCAUGCCGCGGUGAAUACGUUCCCGGGCCUU
RNAcentral lists this ribosomal RNA (218 nucleotides) under uncultured Anoxybacillus sp. Its description in RNAcentral is "partial 16S ribosomal RNA". It matches the Rfam family "Bacterial small subunit ribosomal RNA", at positions 1164 to 1382 of the family's 1533-position model. Lineage: Bacteria; Bacillati; Bacillota; Bacilli; Caryophanales; Anoxybacillaceae. The record is from RNAcentral.